This 3478-nucleotide long non-coding RNA is filed under the name Apis mellifera (honey bee). Its description in RNAcentral is "uncharacterized LOC107964465". The record is from RNAcentral. Lineage: Eukaryota; Metazoa; Arthropoda; Insecta; Hymenoptera; Apidae.
UGAAAUAUAUAUAAUCGCAAAAUUAAUACAUUAUACUAAAAAUUUGUCUAAAAACAAAAAAAAAAAAGAAAAUUCUUCUCAUCGAGACGAAUAUUACGGAGAAACGGUGUAAUCGCAAAAUUAAUAUAAUAGAAUAAAAUGUAAUACGAAUUUAAAAUUAUAUUAUUAAUAAUAAACUCUUUCUCUUUCUCAGCGAUAAAUUAAUUACGCAAAAUAUUACGUAAUACGUAAGUAAUGAUAAUUAUGUACAAUUACGUAUAUACGUAAGUAAUGAUAAAUUUUUCUAAAAGGAAGAGAAAUAAAACUAAAUUCUUCUCAUCGAGACGAAUAUAGGGACGAUAAAUUAAUUACGCAAAAUAUUAUACGUAAGUAAUGAUAAAUUUUUCUAAAAGGAGGAGAAAUAAAACUAAAUUCUUCUCAUCGAGACGAAUAUAGGGACGAUAAAUUAAUUACGCAAAAUAUUAUACGGAGUACGCAGCGGAGAAACGGUGAAGAACGAUAAUCGUUGCACGUUUCUUUCCAUUGGCCAAUUCGCCGUGACGCGAAAACAGUGUGAGAAGGACAUUUUGCGGCCCGCCACCUCUCGUGCAAUUACGGAACGAACGAGGAAUCGGUCCGAUAAAAUACGAUGGACUGGCGUAUACGUCGCAAGGGUCGUGAACGGACAAAUAGAACGAGGCUAACGGGAUCCUCGAGAGGUCCUGGCUGGUCGUUUCGAUACCUCCUUUCGGCCUCGUUCUAUAUUUUUCAUCCAUCCUCCGCAACGUUCCACCGAUUCGCUUUACGAUAAACGACGGUACAAUGCGCCCCAUUUUCGCCAAUUCCUCCCUGCAUGUAAUUUCGUCAAUGAUCACUUCUUUCGAAGCGAAGAAGUUAGUUCUAUUUUCGAUUCUGGAUAUAUGUCGUUAUCAGAAACCUUGCGCUUUCGUAUUAUAAGAAGAACUCGUAGUAAAGAGCUUUAUCUCGCUUUGAUUAAUCUUGAGAUUGAUAAGAAUAUUUAUAUUUCGUGAAAUGUUUAAUAAGAUAUUGGAUUGAUUAAAAAUUGUUUAUCGAGAUGUGAAUGAAAGUCUCUUUUUUCUCUUUUUCAAAAACGUUUAAAAAACAAGAUAACAAUGCUAAGGGUGUCGUAAUUUAAUUACAAAUUUAAUUACUUUUAAUUACGAAACAAAACUAAUCUAAUAUUAUAAUUUUAAUCAAAUAACGAACUUGAUCACGUACAAAGCGAAGUCUCGUUAAAUUUUGCAAAUAUAAAUGUUGAUAAGGAAUGUACAAGUUUAGACAAUAAAAAUGCUUUAGCUGUGAAACGACGCGUAGCGUAACAUCGUGAUACGCAUGCAUGCACCUAUCGUUACGAUAUUCGCAAGGACGAGCGCCAGACGGUUCUCUCAAUUUAAUUUCAUUUAGGGCCACUUAAACGGUCGCGGUGCAACAACCGCCGAAAUGCCACAAGACGACCGCGCACAACGUUCACGAAAUUAAAAGACCAGAUUGUAACCCUCCAAAUCGUUUUUCUUCGAGCUAUUAAAUUCUAACUGUUUGCCGGGAACCAGAGUCUUCUCUAUCUUUUCAUUCUUCGGUAUCUUCAAUAUAAAUAAUUGUAAGAAAAAUAAACCUUUCAUUUUUUACCAUACGAUGUCGAAUAAUUAUUCGAAAAAAAAAAUUACCAAUCGUAAAAAUUUCAUUUCAUUAACAAUUUUUCAAAUGUUUAUUUAAAAUUUACAAUUAAUGAUAUUAUAUCUUGUAAUGGUAUAUGACAGCGAUAUACGAGAGAUGGAUCGAAAUAUUUUGACGGAGCGUGAAACGCAUUCGAAACGAGCGUUACUUAUCUCUGCUGAUCGAAUCAUUCGCGAGCUGAAAACUAUAAACUAAUGUGCGCAUGCUCGAAAGAUAUCUAACCUCUGGCCGAGAAGCGUGGAACAAUAGAAGGACGAUGAAUCGUGAAAAAUCGUGGGAAAUUUUUUUUCCCCUAUACCUGUUCGUUCCUGCCACCUGGUGCCACCUAGGUAUAUUUCUAGUGACGAAUAUAAAAGAAAAAGAAAAGAAAAGAAAAGAAAAGAAAAAAAGGAAUGGAUAUUCAGGAACGAAAAACGAAGACGUUUGAUUUCUCUGCGAGCAAGGAGAAAAAAGUUAUAUGUUUAUUCUUCUAAAAAUAACGCGAUUAGAAAUAAGCGCGACAAAUUGAACACGUAGUGAAAAUACGGAUUUAUCGAGUCGAGUAUUUUCGCAAUAAUUCGCGAUAUUGAUACAAUGUUGCAAAGUCUAUUUCAAUUGCACAAAGACGAUUUUUAUUUAUAUCGAAAAAUUAUUAUAAAGAAUCAAGUAUUAUAAUUUUAAAAUUUUCCUCUUUUUAUUCGUCAAUUCGAUGCAAAUUGUCGAGCGCGUUCUUUCUUCCUUUUUUCCUAUUCGCAGGUGAAAAUAAAAAUAUUGCGAAAUAUUCUCGCGAUUCUACUCGUUUCUUCCUCUGAAUUUCAACGAACGUGGUAAUGAAUUUCAGCAACGCGAAACACAUAUACAACUCGUGUCACAACACUCGUUGUUGUUUGCAUUGGCGAAUUAAUACGAAAAAAGAACGAUUAAUGCGAGAUAAAAAGAAGAUUAUCAUAAGCGAAGCUAAAAAAUACCCGUUAAUUUGUCGUUUUCACCGAAGUAUUCAAAGUUCUUCUUCUCGUAUUUGUUUCCUUUAAUGAUCAAUCUUUCCCGCCAUUAAAUUUCACCGUUCGCAAAAGCAUAAAAAUCAUACACUUCAAAAAAAAAACACCCAAUAAAAAUUCCAUUCUAUUCGAAAUUCUUCACUUGGUAAAAUCUAGGGAAUUUUUAAUAUUCGAUAAAAACAGGUGCUAGUUUCUCGUAAAAAAAAAAAGAAAUACCGCGAAACACGUUUCGCAACCCGUAUCCCAUGCUCACACACACUUAUUUCACCCUGUUUAAUUAUUUCAAAAUUAUCUUCUAAUUUAUAACCUAUAACGCGUAUAGAGAUAAUAUUAAGUCGGGCGAAGGAAAUAACUAGUUUUAGUUCAAACGGGAAAAGGGAAAAAUAUCUAUGAUAUUCGCUAACCUGUUACCAAGUAGAAGAGGACGUAUAUACAUUUACCAGUUUCACUGGGGCACCGACUAUACUUGGGACGGACCACACUGUACGUACGCGCUAUACAUCGGUUCUGUUAAUGUCGCGCGGGAGCAAGAAUCCUUGUACCUGUGCGACGAGUUCCAUCUUGAAUCGUUCGAAAUGGCGGAAGCGCCACGAAUAGUAUAGAGAUAGAAAAGGACGAAAAAAAGGGUAUAAAAGGAACCAAGAAUACACUCUCGAACGGUUUACGAUGCGUUGUCGGGGUGUGGCGCUACCAAAAGGUUUCGUUCUCUCAAAAUCGUAUGGCAAUUUUUUUUUUUUUUUAAAUAAAAUAUAAAAUAAUCUUCCAAUUAUCCAAUUUUUUUUUUUCAAACAGGAAACGCUUUUAUCAUAAACCUAACCUCUCUCUCG